GUGAGGAAUAUUGCGCAAUGGAGGCAACUCUGACGCAGCCAUGCCGCGUGCAGGAAGAAGGCGCUACGCGUUGUAAACUGCUUUUAACCGGGAAGAAACCCCAGGACGUGUCCUGGGUUGACGGUACCGGAGGAAUAAGCACCGGCUAACUUCGUGCCAGCAGCCGCGGGAAUACGAAGGGUGCAAGCGUUAUCCGGAUUCAUUGGGUUUAAAGGGUGCGUAGGCGGAGCGUUAAGUCAGUGGUGAAAUCCUGCAGCUUAACUGUAGACUUGCCAUUGAUACUGGCGCUCUUGAGUGCGCUUGAAGUGGGCGGAAUGUGCCGUGUAGCGGUGAAAUGCUUAGAUAUGGCACAGAACACCAAUUGCGAAGGCAGCUCACUAAGGCGAUACUGACGCUGAGGCACGAAAGCGUGGGGAUCGAACAGGAUUAGAUACCCUUGUAGUCC
Molecule: ribosomal RNA, 445 nt
Filed under: uncultured bacterium
Lineage: Bacteria
Description: partial 16S ribosomal RNA
Rfam family: Bacterial small subunit ribosomal RNA
Source: RNAcentral